This 798-nucleotide ribosomal RNA is filed under the name Triticum aestivum (bread wheat). RNAcentral's name for it is "partial small subunit ribosomal RNA". The record is from RNAcentral. Lineage: Eukaryota; Viridiplantae; Streptophyta; Magnoliopsida; Poales; Poaceae.
AUGAUGGCGUUACCUAGAUUUGGUGAUCUUCACCUUAAAAGGUUAGAAGAGAUCGAAAGCAAUGUCAGGAGUUUUAUGGUUUUGCAAUUUGAACAUAAUAAUUUCUUCAGAAACGAGCUUAAGGAACAAAAAAGCUUUAUGAGUUAUAUGAAUAAAGAGCUCCAUGAUAUGUCUAAAGAAUUUGAUGGUUUGAGAUCCCAAAUUGCUCGUCUUGAAAAAUUGAUAGCUGAAAUAUCGGAUGAGCAGGCUACCUUAGUUAAUAAGAUGGCCGCUAAACCGGAUUUCUAUGAAAAUAAAGAUGAAGAUCUAAAAGUUAUUGGUGUGUCCCCUAUUAAAUCUUUGUUUUGCAAUAUGAAUCUUGAUAAUGAUGGGACUGAAUAUGAUCCACCUUUACCUAGAAGGCGUUCCAAAAAAUCGGAGUUUUUAGAUCUUGAUGCUAAAUUUGAUAAAAGUGGGAUUGAAGAAAUCAAAACCCUAGAUGCUAAUAAACCAACUAUUUUGGAUUUCAAGGAAUUUAAUUAUGAAAAUUGCUCUUUGAUUGAUUGUAUUUCCUUGUUGCAAUCCGUGCUAAAUUCUCCUCAUGCUUAUAGUCAAAAUAAAGCGUUUACUAAACAUAUCGUUGAUGCCUUGAUGCAAUCUUAUGAAGAAAAGCUUGAGUUGGAAGUUUCUAUCCCUAGAAAACUUUAUGAUGAGUGGGAACCAACUAUUAAAUUAAGAUUAAGGAUCAUGAGUUCUAUGCUUUAUGUGAUUUGGGUGCUAGUGUUUCCACUAUUCCCAAAACUUUGUGCGAUUUGCUAG